Tupaia belangeri chinensis (Chinese tree shrew) is the source of this 521-nucleotide long non-coding RNA. RefSeq lists it as uncharacterized. NCBI's taxonomy places the organism in Eukaryota, Metazoa, Chordata, Mammalia, Scandentia, Tupaiidae. The transcript has 3 exons. The record is from RefSeq and is a predicted model, not a curated record.
GCAGCCUGCCCACCACGCUGAGCUCUGAGGACACAGGACAGGCUGUCCCCCAGCUCUCACUCUGGCCCUUCCUCCUCUGCCCCCCAGCUCAGGGCCAUGUCUCCUGGGUCACCUCUCAGGCAGAGUCCUAGAGCCUCCUGUCCCUCCCACCAGGCAGGAUCUCACUUCCUCCUCUUCCGCAGCCCCUAGGGCAGGACCAAGGUCCCCUCCACUGUUCCCUCUGGGCCAUUGUGGAAUGGCCACACCAGCAGCUCCCGUGGCCUCCCAGGAGCCCCCACCAGGAAGGAGGAGGAGAGCAGCCUUGUGGAUCACACAGUUGCCGGCUGGGCUCUGAGCUGCUCCAUUUCUGGCGGGAGACCCCUUCUUGGGGUCAAUCCCCUUCAGCCUCCGGGGCACCAGGAGGAAGAGCUGCUGUGCCAGGAGGAAUCCCUCAGGCCGGGUCUGCCCAGGUCCCCAGGAACCCGGAGGAGGGUGUGCAGGAUGGGGGUGAGCAACACUGCCGUUCUACCAGGGGCUCCCCA